RNAcentral lists this ribosomal RNA (253 nucleotides) under uncultured bacterium. RNAcentral describes it as "partial 16S ribosomal RNA". It matches the Rfam family "Bacterial small subunit ribosomal RNA", at positions 524 to 776 of the family's 1533-position model. The record is from RNAcentral.
UACGUAGGGGGCUAGCGUUGUCCGGAAUCAUUGGGCGUAAAGCGCGUGUAGGCGGUCCGGUAAGUCCGCUGUGAAAGUCGGGGGCUCAACCCUCGGAUGCCGGUGGAUACUGUCGGGCUUGAGUACGGAAGAGGCGAGUGGAAUUCCUGGUGUAGCGGUGAAAUGCGCAGAUAUCAGGAGGAACACCGAUUGCGAAGGCAGCUCGCUGGGACGUCACUGACGCUGAGACGCGAAAGCGUGGGGAGCAAACAGG